GACGAACGCUGGCGGCGGGCUUAACACAUGCAAGUCGAACGGAAAGGCCCUGCGUUUGUGGGGUGCUCGAGUGGCGAACGGGUGAGUAACACGUGAGUAACCUGCCCUUGACUUUGGGAUAACUUCAGGAAACUGGGGCUAAUACCGGAUAGGAGCUCCUGCUGCAUGGAGGGGGUUGGAAAGUUUCGGCGGGUGGGGAUGGACUCGCGGCUUAUCAGCUUGUUGGUGGGGUAGUGGCUUACCAAGGCUUUGACGGGUAGCCGGCCUGAGAGGGUGACCGGCCACAUUGGGCCUGAGAUACGGCCCAGACUCCUACGGGAGGCAGCAGUGGGGAAUAUUGCACAAUGGGCGGAAGCCUGAUGCAGCAACGCCGCGUGCGGGAUGACGGCCUUCGGGUUGUAAACCGCUUUCGCCUGUGACGAAGCGUGAGUGACGGUAAUGGGUAAAGAAGCACCGGCUAACUACGUG
This 468-nucleotide ribosomal RNA is filed under the name uncultured bacterium. RNAcentral's name for it is "partial 16S ribosomal RNA". It matches the Rfam family "Bacterial small subunit ribosomal RNA", at positions 28 to 507 of the family's 1533-position model. The record is from RNAcentral.